GGUCAAGCGGAGCCUAUGGUCGAUGUAGCAAUAGGGGGAAAGAGAAGUUCUUUCAUGAUUGACACAGGUGCUGAACAUUCUGUGGUGACUAAGAUGGUGGCUCCGCCUUCGGGGAAGACUAUAACUGUGAUAGGAGCUACUGGGAGAAGUGCAGCUAGACCGGUUCUUAAGAGUCGCACUUGUAUUCUGGGAGGCCAUGUGGUGAAGCAUUAGUUCCUAU
Molecule: non-coding RNA, 220 nt
Organism: Pelobates cultripes (western spadefoot toad)
Lineage: Eukaryota; Metazoa; Chordata; Amphibia; Anura; Pelobatidae
Source: the annotation of a GenBank genome assembly